RNAcentral lists this ribosomal RNA (2557 nucleotides) under Monocercomonoides merkovicensis. RNAcentral describes it as "partial small subunit ribosomal RNA". It matches the Rfam family "Eukaryotic small subunit ribosomal RNA". The record is from RNAcentral. Lineage: Eukaryota; Preaxostyla; Oxymonadida; Polymastigidae.
UGUAAGUAUAAACAACUUGUACUUGUGAAACUGCGAAUGGCUCAUUACAACAGUUAUAAUUUAAUUGACAAAGAAUAAAAUUGAAAUAAUAUUUUACUACAUGGAUAGCCGUAGUAAUUCUAGAGCUAAUACAUGCGAGAAUAUUUAAUUAUAUAAAGAUCCGACUUUUUUAUAAUAAAGGAAGGAUUGUAUUUAUUAGAUCGAAAAUCAAUAGUAAUGGUUUAAAUGAUAUCCAUUGAGAUAUUGUACCUAUUACAAUAAUAAUAAAAAGAUGAAUCAUGAUAAAUGUCGAAUUGUUUUUUUAUCUGUAAAAGGAUUUAGAACAAUGUGUCAUUGAAAUUUCUGACCUAUCAACUUUUGAUGGUAGGAUAGAGGCCUACCAUGGUUUUGACGGGUAACGGAGAAUUAGGGUUCGAUUCCGGAGAGGGAGCCUGAGAAAUGGCUACCACUUCCAAGGAAGGCAGCAGGCGCGCAAAUUACCCAAUCCCAAUUAUACAUUUGGGGAGGUAGUGACAAAAAAUAACAAUACGGAGUAUUUUACAAUAUUCUGCAAUUGGAAUGGUUUUAAUGUAAAUGCUUAAAAGAGAAACAAUUAGAGGGCAAGUCUGGUGCCAGCAGCCGCGGUAAUUCCAGCUCUAAUAGUGUAUACUAAAAUUGCUGCAGUUAAAAAGCUCGUAGUUGGAUUUUUAAAUCUUUUUGAACUAUUAUCUUUUUAAUUUAGAUUUUGUUAAUAGCAAUCUAAUGUUGCUUGUUAUUUAUUCUAAAUUCUUUUUCUUUUUAUUAUUUGUUUAAUAGGAAGAAAAGGGGGAAUAAAAAGCAUUAAAAAGAAAUCCAAUAUUAGCAAUAAUAUUGGGUAAGAUUUUUUCGAAAUUAUUAAUUAAUCACUUAAUUGUUGAUAAUAAUUAAUCAUUCCUUUUUUUUUUAAUUUAUUUUGAAAGAAGGGGAAAAUUUCGGAUUAUUUACUUUGAAGAAAAUGGAGUGUUCAAAGCAGGCGUUUUUUUAUUUUAGGAUAAGAAAAAUUCGCAACUGAACACAUUAGCAUGGAAUAAUAAAAUAAGACACUUGAUUAAAUUUUUAAAUUUAAUUAAUUUGAAUUUAAAAAUGUAAUUAAAUAUUUUAUAAUUUAUUUUCUUGUUAAAGAGAGAAUAAAAAAGAAAAUAUUUAUUUCAAUUUUAUUGGUUUAUGAAACAGGUGUAAUGAUUAAGAGGGACAGUUGGGGGUAUCUGUAUUGCAUUGUCAGAGGUGAAAUUCUUGGAUUUAUGCAAGACAAACAAGUGCGAAAGCAUUUACCAAGGAUGUUUUCAUUAAUCAAGAACGAAAGUUAGGGGAUCGAAGGCGAUCAGAAACCGCCCUAGUCUUAACUAUAAACGAUGCCAACUAGGGAUUGGAGGGUUUAAUAUAAUAAUUAUCUUAUUACGUGAGAUAAUUAAAGUAUUGCUUUUAAAAAUAUAAUAAUUUAUUUAAUAGGUUUGUUUAAAUACAAAAUAUUAAAUGAAUUAUUUUUAAGCCCCGUCAGCACCUUUAGAGAAAUCAAUUAAGUCUCUGGGUUCUGGGGGGAGUAUGGUCGCAAGUCUGAAACUUAAAGAAAUUGACGGAAGGGCACCACCAGGUGUGGAGCCUGCGGCUUAAUUUGACUCAACACGGGGAAACUUACCAGGUCCAGACACGGGAAGGAUUGACAGAUUGAUAGUUCUUUCUUGAUUCCGUGGGUGGUGGUGCAUGGUCGUUCUUAGUUGGUGGAGUGAUUUGUCUGGUUAAUUCCGAUAACGAACGAGACCUCAACCUGCUAAAUAGGAUGAUAAUUUUAAUUUUUUCUUUUUUUCUUUUAUUUUAAUUUUUAAUUAAAUUUUGUAAUAUCUAGUUUUUAGAUGUUAGAUAAGUUAAUUAAAAAUAAAAUAAAAGAAAGAAGGAAGAAAUAAAAAAAAUUAAAAUAAAUAAUUCGUUAUGCUUAUGAUUUGUUUUUCUUUUUUAGUAGCAAUAUUAGAAUAGAGAAAUGAGUUAUAAGUGAAUUAUUGAAAUUAUUAUAUUGUAAAAAAUUUAAUUUAUAAAUAAUUAAAAAAAAAUGAAAAUUUUUUUUUAAUUGUAUAUAAAUUAAACCUGCUUAGAGGGACUACCAUGGUUGCACAUGGGGGAAGCAUGAGGCAAUAACAGGUCUGUGAUGCCCUUAGAUGUCCUGGGCCGCACGCGCGCUACACUGAUAAAGUCAACAAGUUUUUAUUAUAAUUAUUAUGAUUUAAAGGAUUUUUUUAUUUAAAAUAUUAAUUUAUUUUAAAUAAAUUGAUUCCAUAGUAAUUAUAAUUUCCUUAUCCGAAAGGAUUGGGUAAUCUUUUGAAACUUUAUCGUGAUGGGGAUUGAUCUUUGUAAUUUUGGAUCAUGAACGAGGAAUACCUAGUAAGUGCAAUUCAUCAGAUUGCGCUGAUUACGUCCCUGCCCUUUGUACACACCGCCCGUCGCUCCUACCGAUUGAAUGAUCAGAUGAAAUGUUCGGAUUGUUAAAUCAUUAAAAAUGAAUAAUUUUUAUGGAUUUAAUUAGAAGAGCAGUAAAUCUUAUUAUUUA